RNAcentral lists this ribosomal RNA (1143 nucleotides) under Triticum aestivum (bread wheat). RNAcentral describes it as "partial small subunit ribosomal RNA". Lineage: Eukaryota; Viridiplantae; Streptophyta; Magnoliopsida; Poales; Poaceae. The record is from RNAcentral.
AUGCGAAAGCUCUUCUUCAAGAAGCCGGUGGGGUGGCCGGAGUUUCUGGAAGCAAGAGCCGUGUGCAUCGACAAGCUGAAGCAAUUGCCCGACCACUUUCACGUCCCAACAUCUUAUGACAAAUUCGAAGAGUACAUACUGAACAAUGCUAAGAUCAUACUUUGCACCGCUUGUACCUCGUCCCACCUGAGCCGGACCGUGGAGCUUGGGGAAUUUAAGCCAAUCGACCUUCUUAUCGUCGACGAGGCGGAGCAGCUGAGGGAGCGUGAGAUACCGAUACCUCUGCACACCGGUGUCCAUCGCACUGUCCUCAUUGGCGACGACUGCAAGUUACCGGCGCUAAUCAAAAGCAAGGUCAGCGUGGACGCCGACUUUGGGAGAAGCCUGUUCGAGAGGCUUAUAUCUCUUGGACAUCCUAGGCACCUCCUUGAUGUGCAGUUCAGGAUGCACCCGGAGAUAAGCAAGUUCCCCCUCUCGAGGUUUUACCUCGGUAAGGUGACAGAUGGCCCCAACGUCCUCCAAAGGGAUUACGAGAGGAAGCUCCUGGCUGGCCCAAUGUACGGCCCCUACUCGUUCAUCGACAUCAAAGGCGGGACCGAGAGCUCGGGCGAGCAUGACAUGAGCCUGAGCGACGCGGCCGAGGCAGCCGCCGUGACCCGGAUCGUGGAGAGAUUGUUCAAUGAGUCGGUUUGCUCGGGACAAAAGCUAGCCGUAGGCGUGGUGUCGCCCUACAAUGCGCAAGGCCACGCCAUCCAGGAGAGGCUCGGAAGGCUCGAGUGCGGGGCACACGGCGAUGGAGAAGGCUUCUCCGUGAAGGUUCGGACCGUGGAGGGGUUCCAGGGCGCCGAGGAGGACGUCAUCGUCUUCUCUGCCGUGCACAGCAACGGCAACGGGUCGGUCGGGUUGCUGGCCGACUGGAGGCGCACGAACGUGGCGCUCACCCGGGCAAAGCACUGCCUUUGGAUCCUGGGCGACGCGGCGACGCUGUCGAGCAGCAAGACGAUCUGGCAGGAGAUUGUGGCCGACGCAAAGGAGAGAGGGUGCUUCUACGACUGCAACGAGGACAAGGACCUCGCGGCCGCGAUACGCGACGCCGUGGUCGAUCGGUCGGAUGAAUUAAUUGGACAAUCUGCUCAACGUUGA